Molecule: ribosomal RNA, 208 nt
Filed under: uncultured bacterium
Lineage: Bacteria
Description: partial 16S ribosomal RNA
Rfam family: Bacterial small subunit ribosomal RNA
Source: RNAcentral
ACUCCUACGGGAGGCAGCAGUGGGGAAUAUUGGACAAUGGGCGAAAGCCUGAUCCAGCAAUGCCGCGUGAGUGAUGAAGGCCUUAGGGUUGUAAAGCUCUUUUACCCGGGAUGAUAAUGACAGUACCGGGAGAAUAAGCUCCGGCUAACUCCGUGCCAGCAGCCGCGGUAAUACGUAGGAGGCGAGCGUUAUCCGGAUUUACUGGGCG